RNAcentral lists this ribosomal RNA (427 nucleotides) under uncultured bacterium. RNAcentral describes it as "partial 16S ribosomal RNA". It matches the Rfam family "Bacterial small subunit ribosomal RNA", at positions 355 to 774 of the family's 1533-position model. The record is from RNAcentral.
UGGGGAAUAUUGGACAAUGGGCGAAAGCCUGAUCCAGCCAUGCCGCGUGUGUGAAGAAGGUCUUCGGAUUGUAAAGCACUUUAAGUUGGGAGGAAGGGCAUUAACCUAAUACGUUAGUGUUUUGACGUUACCGACAGAAUAAGCACCGGCUAACUCUGUGCCAGCAGCCGCGGUAAUACAGAGGGUGCAAGCGUUAAUCGGAAUUACUGGGCGUAAAGCGCGCGUAGGUGGUUUGUUAAGUUGGAUGUGAAAUCCCCGGGCUCAACCUGGGAACUGCAUUCAAAACUGACUGACUAGAGUAUGGUAGAGGGUGGUGGAAUUUCCUGUGUAGCGGUGAAAUGCGUAGAUAUAGGAGGGAACACCAGUGGCGAAGGCGACCACCUGGACUAAUACUGACACUGAGGUGCGAAAGCGUGGGGAGCAAACA